RNAcentral lists this ribosomal RNA (253 nucleotides) under uncultured bacterium. Its description in RNAcentral is "partial 16S ribosomal RNA". It matches the Rfam family "Bacterial small subunit ribosomal RNA", at positions 524 to 776 of the family's 1533-position model. The record is from RNAcentral.
UACGGAGGGUGCAAGCAUUGACCGGAAUUACUGGGCGUAAAGGGCGCGUAGGCGGUUCAAUAAGUCAGAUGUGAAAUUCCGGGGCUCAACCCCGGAGCUGCAUUUGAAACUAUGGAACUAGAGUUCAGUUAGGGUAAACGGAAUUCCACGAGUAGCGGUGAAAUGCGUAGAUAUGUGGAAGAACACCGGUGGUGAAGACGGUUUACUGGGCUGAGACUGACGCUGAGGCGCGAAAGCAUGGGGAGCAAACAGG